UUCACCUGUGAAUAUCUGAAUAUCUGGAGCAGGUAUUUGUCUCCCCAAGUUAUCUCAGCAGAGUGAGGGAGCAGCGCUCUCUGCUAGAGGUCCAGGAGGACAGGCGUUAGCAGCAUGGUCUGCCUGGUCCUGUCUUCUCACAGGCUAAAGGGGCUCUUUUUGCUAAAAUAUAUGCUGACUCUGAAGCUGAAAUUCCCAAAUUUUAUACCCAGGGGCCAGCCAAAUUUCCAUCUGAUGUAAAUUGAAUUUCUCAAGCAGGCUGAGGCUGCCUGCAGGGGGGGGUUGGCCAGCUCAGCAGCAGGCCCUGAGAGCAUCACCCACAGCAGGGCUCCAGGGCCUGGUGACUUCAGCUGCCACUCAGGUCUGUGUCACAAGACACAUCAAAAUCCACUGCACACGUGGUGUGAACCUGGGGAAGCACUGUCAUGUUUUCUGGAGUGGGCUGUGACUCAGGUUCCCAUGGAAAACCCUUGCAUGCAGUUGUUUCCCUUCACAUGCAGUGGUUACUCAUUGGAAGAAAGGUCACUUUAGCUCCAGCCUGCCAGCUUGUUAUCUCUGUCUCACUAGGAUGCUAAAUGGAAUUUAGGCAAGGAAAAGAUCCAAAAUUUCAGGUUCUGAAGGGAACUUUGCAUGCACUGAGGAAAUCAGUUUAAUAUCUGGCUGUUCUGCAAAAGCAAUGCACGUGAGUGAGCGUGUGUGCCUGAGACAGGGGCAGGCUUUAGGAACAGCCAUGCACACAGGAGUGGAGGAGCCUUCACAUGGGAAACCUCUCACUGCACCAACCUGCAGUGGGUCAGCAUCUCUGGAAGAGGUUCUCCUUCAAUGGAAAUGCUCCAGCAGAUGGAUAAUGCAUAAUUGGGAACGGUCCUUGUGGAAUACAGAAGAUUUUCUGGGCCUUGUUUGCAUCACAGAGCUUUUAUCAGCCAGCAGAGCAAAGACAGAGAGACCUGGGCUCGAGUAGCCGUGGGAAUAUAGAAUGCAAAGGCCACACUUGUCCCCUGAGCACCUCAAACUCACCAUGGCAUGAGUGCCCUCAGCUGAAAGGGCUCUCACUCUAAGGUCACCUGCACAGCAUCCCAGCACUGAAAACAAGGCUUCUGCCACCAGUCAGGACACAAAGCAGCCUCAUUUGUCACAACCUGCAAGUCCUGUUCAUUGGAAAAUCAAAACAGGUGACUUUUUCACCGCUCACAGGAUGGCAGCUGAAAGUUUUGCACAAAUUUCUGCGUUCUUUUCCAAGCAAUGCUCACUCACUCUCUUCCAGUGGUGCCUCAUUCCUGGGCCAGAAAGUUUCCAGUGUUUGACCUGAUGGCUCCAUUCAGAAUAUCAGUCUCAUCUUGAAUUAAUAAGUCUGGGUGACAGUGGAUAGGCAGGAAAACACACAUAAUUUUGUAUCUCCCUAGAAAACUAAGAAGUGACAGUGUGAAACAGGGGCUAUUAAUAUGUGUGCAGCUCUUUUACAAUUUACUGCUCUUCAUCUGUGAAAUAAAAUGUAAAGCCUCUACUUUAGAGCACAUAGAGUUACUGAUUUUUAAUGUAUAGCCCAAAUAUGCUACAUAUACCCACUGGAAUGGUUUAGCUGCUACUGGAUUGCAGUUAUCACUUGUAAAAAAAAAAAAAAAGAAAAUUCUUCAGCAGUAAAAGUGUCAUGAGAUGUACACGGCUGGAACUUUCCAAACCAUGUAAUUUAGCCUUUCUGAGGGAGUUAUUUCUGAUUCUGUCAUGUAUGAAUGUUUUGGGCUCUCUCACAAGAAUUGCAGAAACAUGUUAUAUUAGGGGAGAAGUCUGGUAUAAAUCACACUUGUUCAGCCAGACAUCAGUCACAGUGCAGGAAAAAAUGAAAGCUUCUUUCGUUCUCAUGGCUGACCCCUCCAACACAGUAUUGUCCCCACUAAUGAGCUGAACAUCUUUGCUGAUUUGUUACAUGUAGCAAAUAUAGAAGCAAUGAAACCCAUCUGUGUAAUUUAUUCAUUGAUUUGGACUUGAAGCCAAGUGUGCUCUAAGUAGCUCUUGUCUGGGUUCAUGUGUGUGAGAGAGAAUAGCUCAUCAAAAACAAAAAGUCUUAAACUUACCUGCUUGAAAUAUUCAUGAAUAGUGGAAAAUGCCCUGGAUCUCCUCCUGUGCAACCCAGCAGUCAUUUCAGAAAUGGUUUAGUGUUAAGUAAGGACUGCUGGUUUCAGCCCUGUAUUUGCAGUAAGAUCAAAAGAUCAUUUUUUAGGGAGGUCUCCUGAUAAUCCUUUCCAUUUUAAAAAUAAACAAAUAAAAAUAUCAGGGAAAGACAGAAGGCUGAAAUGAAAUAAAGCAAGCUCAAACGCACUUUAUAUCCCCUCCUUAAUGCUGAAAAUAUACACUGUGGUGGUAGUUUUGUGCAUCUCCUAUGAUUUCAACUUCCUGUAAAACAGUUUUAAUUUGGGGGAGUGGGGUUCACUGUUUUUACCCUGAGCUCUUCAAAACACAGCUGAUUCCAAGUCACCUGUUAAAAAUCUGUUUUCUUUUAAGCUACCCAAGGGCCUAUCUUUUUUAUUUCAGAGACAAAGGAAUGUUGUGAAGAAAUUGGUUUUAAACACUUGGUUUCAGCGUGUUUAGGUUUCUAUUUCACAUCUCCAGCCACUGUGGAUAUUUGGUUCGGGGUGCAGAGGUUGUAUAAAGCCUUCCACACAAACAUUCCCACCUGCACAAGCAGCUCUUUCUGUGCUCUGUUGUGAAGGACAGAGCGAGGUUUAUUGAGCAAAGUUUCUGGAGGGGUGAAGGUUUGCAUGCACAUCCCGAACUUUCCCAUCACACAGCUGCCUUCUGGAUGGGAAAUGCAAAGGCAGAGGUGCUGAACGGUGCUCCUGCUCUGCAGACACCCUCUGGUUCAUAACUCCAGCAGUCUGAUGCCAAACCUCAUGGGAUCCAAAUGAAGGAAAGGAAGAAAAAGAUAAAUUCGAAAAAGAAGGCAGAACAGAUUAAACCACGGAGGAGAUAUUACACCCAGCAAAUGGGGUAACAGUCUGAUUGAACACAGACAGGGUUUGCUCAGAAACCCUUCUUUCUUUACAAGUGGGACAUUAACAAGCUGACCAGGGCUGAGGUAAGUCAGGCUUUUUCUCCGUCCUGUAGAUUUUUUUGGUUUAUUUUUUUUCUCCCCUGACUGAGUGCUGGUGGCAACAGAUUAACAGGUCACUGGACUGGCUCUGAGAAUUGCUGCCACUUACCUUUCCUCUUCUUGUCGCUCUGUGGUCUAAUGGCAUCAUUUACCAUGCGCUUCCCUCCCCGCAGCCCGGUGACACCCAGAGAACAGUGAUCGAUGGCUAAUUCUGCCUGCGUGCGUCCAGGGGGGACAGAGGCUCAUCAUUUCAGGGGUAAACGUCCUUUCCCCUUCCUUUGACCUUCUUCCCCAUGCAGGCAGGGUGAGCAGGAGCCUGCAGGGGCAGCUUGCUGGGGGGCACGGAGGUGUCGGGCCCUCCUGCCAUCCCCCCUGCCCAGCCAGAGCCGCGGGGCCCCGGCCCGGCCCGCACCGGCCCCGAACCUGCGAGCCCGAGCCUCAGACAGCAACAUCUGAAUCAACACAGCAUCGUUUACUCACAGAGCCGACAGCCCUUCCACUCGAACUGGUUCAAAUUAGCCGACGCCACAUUCUUUUCCUUCUGUGUGUUUGGUUUUCUGCCUUUUUUUCUUUUUUUCUUUUUUCCCCCUUUACAUAAGGAUAUAUAAUUGCAGGAUUUCACCCAGCAGAGUGCGAAACAGCCCAGCGGAGGAGAGGGAGGAGCGGCGGGCACGGCUGGAGCGGUGAGAGAGGGAGAUGCGCGCCCGGGAGAUGCGCGCCCGCGGGAGAUGCGCGCCCGGGAGAUGCGCGCCCGCGGGAAGCUGCGGAGCGCUCCGCGGGUGCGGGUCCCGCCCGGGCUGGGCAGUGUUUCUCAGCCCUGGCUUUCUCGCUGGAACUUACCUUCCGGACACGUGCAAAUGGAAAAGCGGGGACGCUAAAAUCAAAUUACAGACAUGUAUAAAGACAGAGCACUUCGCUGGCAGCAGGAAUGAUUAAACGGAGCAGCUCGGGAAACCUCCUGUAUGAAUAUUUCAUGUGAAAUGAUGCGAUCCCCCCCAAGGUACAAGAGCCCUCCUUAAUUAAACUGGUGUAAACGUUGCCUUUUACUCCUUUUUUAUUUAAGUUACGGGGAGGAGCGGGCAGAUUGGCCGAGUUUUUACCCUCAUACCCGAAAAAGAAGGAGCAGCCCCUUUCCACGGGAGGGGGCACCUGGCCGGGGCUGCAGGUCCCGCUGCGCUGGGCGCAUCUGCGGGGCCGGGAGCGGGGACAGGGACUCUGGAGGGACACGGGAGUCCCUGGCUGGAACGGGCGAAGCUUAAGAGAUGGUACAGGAGGGCAGGGACGAGCUCUGCGCCCGUAUUUGCCGGCCCGCAUCUCUAUCCUUUCCCGCCGUGGCCCCAACAAGGCGGGGACGAGAGAGGGGUGUUGGCCGCUGUCAGCCCCGUCUGCUGCCGCCCAGCUCAGGCCACCCCUCGCCCACCUCGGACCCUCGUGUCAGGGUGGAAAAGGAACCAGAGCGGCUCUUCCAGGCAGGCACCCCCCAGACGAGCUCCUGCCCACCGACGGACGGGGCGGGGGAGGCUCGAUUGGGGGGCUGCGCCCCACUCCCGGCAGCGGCAGCGCGGCUGGGGGGGGUCCCUGCCCGGGCACCCGGGGCUGAGGCUCCGGGAACCUCCAUGUGCUGCUCGAGGUUUCCAUGGCGAUGAGCGGGGUGGCAGCGGGAAGGUGGUCCCUGUCACACAGGACACGGCUGCCCACCCCGGGCAGCCCGCGCCCUCCCCUCCUGCCUUUGCAAGGCCGGGAUCUGGCGCUUGGGCAGGGGAAGCGCCCGGUGGGGUGAGGGAAAAGGUCCCGGCAGAGGGACCGUUCUGCCCGCUCUGCCCGGCCAUGCCCUAGGCAGAGGACACUGGUGGCACUGGUGACACUGGUGGCACUGGUGGCACUGGUGGCACUGCUCCCCGCCCGCCAGGACCCUCCGCUUUGCCGAACGGGGCAACCUCUCAGGGUUUCGCCACUAGUCUUCUCAAUAAUGGGAAGAAAGCGGAUUUCCCACAGCCCUUCACCCUCCUAAAGACAAAUUAGCGUGAAUUUCCAAGUCAGUCCGACGCUGAACUCACGACCCUUCCCCAGACUCCUGACAAUGUCCCUGCAACCAUUUCAUUCAUACCCACACUGGGACCUUGGCUUCUCCUUCCUUCCUUCCUUCCUUCCUUCCUUCCUUCCUUCCUUCCUUCCUUCCUUCCUUCCUUCCUUCCUUCCUUCCUUCCUUCCUUCCUUCCUUCCUUCCUUCCUUCCUUGCUUCCUUCCUUCCUUCCUCCCUCCCUCCCUCCCUCCCUUCCUUCCUCUCUCUUUCCACCAUUUCUCACGCACAUUUUUUCAUCGUUAUUUAUUUUUUUCUCUUUUUCUUUUCCUCUCUGUUUCUUUGCAGAUUUUAGUCAGUGCUGGCUUUCUAUUAUUUUGCAUUCCCAGGGAAUUUCAAUAAAACAACGUUAUUGUUAUAAAAAUACCUUUUCGGGGUUUAUUUGAGCAGCCUUUACUCUUCCAAAUCACAUCUUCCCCUUUCCUCCCUUGUCCUUGAUUCUGAGCAGAUAUUUGGCAGCCCACGGAGCAGCAGGUGAGGUGUGAGCUUACAGACCGCUACAAAAAGCCAAGGUGCUAACCGGGACGAGGAGGGUGACACAGGAGAUAACUCUCUGAAAAAGGGGUUUUAAAUCAUAUUUGGAUCCUAAACAUCCCAUCACAGCAAACGCCUCCUCUCGACACAUGCAUGCCAAAUAAAAUAGCCGUGAUCGCGUGGAUUAUAAAUGAGAUCACAGAAGUUUAUCUGGGAAUAUCUCGGUCUCGCAACCCACAAGAAUGCACUUUCUUCCCUGCCUCUGAUACCCACUUGCUGAUCUAAAGAUAAAAUAACAGCCGUGCUUGUAUUCUCCGGCCUUGUGGAGAAAGUCAGGACUCCGCGUGUUCUGUGAACACAGCAAAACCACAAAAAGGUUGUUCAAAUACUGAUAAAGCUGUGAGGGUAACUCCACAAAAAACAGCGGAAUCCAGCAGCUUCUCUCGAGUCAGGCUUGGAUCCGCUGCUGCUUCCAGACGUUCGGGACUUGACAGAUGAGUUUCCACACCUUAUCUAAGUUUAUUUGUGUCCAGGUCACCAACACUCAUUCAGACAACACUUUCACCGUGGGAAAUUGCUUCGAAUUCUUAAUUCCGUUUUUGUUUUUUGUUUUGGUUUGGGUUUUUUUCUUUUUAUGUAAAUUCCUUUUAAAAUAAAAAACAUUAUUAUAUAGAGGGGAAAAAUAAGCGGCUGGAGCCGAGCAUUUCUGUUCUUCUGAACUGUUCUUUUCCUGACUGGAAAUCCCUGAAACUUUCCAGAGCUCCGUGUGUCAGGCGGGAGAGAGCGGAGAAAGGGGAUACUACCAGUUUGUCCUUUCCGUUAUAGGUAAAGGACUUUUUAAAAGGUAAUUCCAAGCAGGAGUCUGGGUAAGAACAUUGUUCCCCGUGGAGCGGCUUUCUGCCCCCUUCCAGCCCCCAGGGAAGGUUUUCAGGCAGUGCAGGAGGCAGGGAGAUCCCGCUCCCGCUUUAUGGGCAGGCUGUAAACGCCUGGCGGAGGUUUACUCACACUCAAACGCUUAAUUAAGAAAACAUUAAGGGUCCAGCUUAAACCAACAAAAGCCAAGCAGCUCCGAGACGGGUUCCCACUUUCCACACGGCGGCUGCGGGCCCCCUCCCCGCCCGGAGCCGCGUCCCUGCCCCGCUCCGGGUGCGGGCUGGGGCUGCCCGAGUGCCCGACUCCGCACCCUGCUCUCCCCCUGCGGGGCUGGUGCUUCUCCUCAUCCCCUUCCAGGGGGAAUCGGCACCCAAAGCCUUUCCCGCCCCUCCCCUCAGCCCAGACCCACCAAACACACUCCGGACUCGAUUUUUUGGAGCCCUCUCCGCAGAAUGCGAAGGAAACAGCCACUCUCGGGAGGGUGUCCUGGGGUCUGUCCGGGCUGGGGGUGCGGGGGUGUCCCCUCCUGUGCCCGGCCAGUCCUCACCACCCCGAGCGGAGCACCGGGGCUUUUCUACCUGUCCGGGAUAACAGGCCGGGUUUCUUCCCAUCUCCCAGGGAUGGAGCAUGAGCGAGAGGACUGCGAGAUCCUUUGCUUCCCCCAGAUCCUGCCUCUGCCUACUCCUGAUUAUUUAAUUGUCCCAAGGAAAAAAAUCCGCCAGUUUUUCCGUCUGUCCAGCCUUGGUGAAGGAAGCGGAAUUAACACGGGGGAGGAGACGUGCGGAGCACUGGCAGAAAAUCGUGGUGGUUUUUUGUUGUUGUUUUAAGACAUCAAAAAGGAAAGACAGAAAAGGAUGGACACUACCUUCCAAUACACUUUAGUUGGCUGGUGACAAAAACUCCGGGCAUGCUCUGAAUGCCUAAUUACCCCCAACAGAAAAUUCCCUAUCUAAUUUGAUAUUUGGUGCUCAGCAGAAGCUAGCCUUCGUAAAUAAUAUACAAAGUAAGAAACCUAAUCCAGCAGGCUAGAAUGUUUAAUUCAUCAUUAUGCGAGCUAAUUGGAAGGUGAUUAUAUGGUAAUUGCUCAUUAGUGGUGUAUAUUUAUCGCUGUACCUUAUGUCAAGGCCAUGGGAAUUGUGUAGAGUCUGUUCUCUCAUUUCAAGGAUCAGUUUCAGAAGCAGGAGCAAAGCGGGCGAGAUCAAGUUCUUCCUGACGUCAGGUCCAGCCGUGGGCGAUGGAGAGGGGGUCUAUAAAUGCUCUCCCGGAGCCCCCGCAGCAGCCGGGGCUCCGGCCGGGCCGUGCGGGGAGAUGGGGCUCCCGAGGCAGCGGGGCCGAGCGGCCCCACGGAGGGGACAAGGAGAAGAAGGAUGAGAGGAGGCAGAUCCCGCCUUCCCUGCUCCGGCCGGGGCAGCCACCUGCCAGGCGGGCUGAGCCCUGCGCGGUGCCCGCAGCAUCCUCCCAGCCGCGCCUGGCCGGGAGGAGGGCUCCGAGGGGGCACCGGGGGGUCCCUCACACCCGACGGGCCGCCUUCCCUGCAACAGGCGCUAAUUGCAGAAGGUCAAUUAACGGCGAGCGCGGGAAGGUGAUUAAUGGCCCUUUCUGUUUCAAGCGUGGGCCACGGGCUGGGCUUGCCCGGCUGCGAGUGUCGCACCGGGGAGAGGCUGCGAGCAGAGAGGUUACGGCUCGGGGUCAGGAGGUUCUCUAAACUCCCGCUUCCCCCUCGCAGCGGGACCCUUUGGAGGAGUAAAUCAAUGGCUGUAUUAGCUCCCAGCACUUAGGAGCCGCUGAUGGACACGGGAGCAGGGGUUGGGAGAAUCCCGCUCCAGCGGGGAAUCCGGCCCGAGCUGCUCUGCCUGUUUCCUACGGGCUGUGCGGGGGCUGGGUGCUAAUUAGGGGGGACCGCUAAUUUCCGCCGAGCCCUCACAGGUAACAGCGCGAUCCGUCAGAGGAGGAAGGCAAAUAAACAGCGUUUAAACACAACAAAGCGAGGGCUCCAAAGGCCUCCGGCCUCACCGCGGUGCAGUGGCAAAGAGAGAGCUGCGUGGGUGCGGGCUUGCGCCGCGUGGGGAGCGCAAACCCCACCGAACCACCUGGGAAAGGGUUAAAAAUCCAAGGCGGGGGGGUCAGAUCCUGGACUCGGAGCCAAGCAGCGCUGCCGAGGGUGGGGAUCCAGCGGCGGGGACCCGGGGCCGAGAGGGGCCGGGGGAGGCGAGGGGCGGGGGGGCGGGAUGCGCUGACCUUGGCUGACAGACGGAGCAAAGCCGGGGAGGAGGAACCGCACAGAGCCGGCAGCCCCGACGGGCUGCCCCGAUAUACAGACCCGGUGUGCAGCCCCGAUGUGCAGCCCCGAUGGGCAGCACCCAUGUGCAGCCCCGACGGGCAGCCCCGAUGGGCAGCCCCGGUGUCCAGCCCCGCUCCCGGGACGCUGCGGGGUGCGGGGGGUCCCCGCUUGUCCUGCAGCCCCCUGAGCAGCCCGUGGGGCCAGCGGGCCAAAUCCCCCACCGGGCACCCAGGGUCCCGCGUCCUCCGUCCCCCAGCUUUGCUUCAAAGAAGCCGUAAAAAUCCGCCCGUGUCUGCAAUUCGCCACCCCAAAUCCACGCUCCCUCCCCCACCCCUCUCAGUUAUUUAAUAUAAAAUGUAUUUUUGAACACCCGCUCGGAUAGCAUCUCGCCAAUAUUUAUAUUUCCACGUUGCCUGGCAUCCACUGUCCCACAUUAGACUCUGCCUCUCUCUCCCUCUCUCUAAUCCUGCCACUUUAAAUAGAUGAAUUAAUAAAGCAAAUGAGGGUCUAAUAAGCUGACUGUCCUGCCUAUUGAGGCAGGGGGAGAGAGACUAGAAAGUGCGCCAAAUUUGUUUGCAGUGGAUCAAGGCUAGCCGCCUUUGCUUCACUUUCUUUAUCUUAAUUCCGACUUGAAAAGAUAUAAUUAUCUAGUUUGAACAGAGCUGCUAUCAAAUCCUUCUCUAGGCAAGGCAGGGGAGAGCUGGAGUGGAUUGCAGUGUUCUGAGCCGCUUGGUGCAGCCGGAGAUAGGGAGUAAUGAAGUUGUGGAGUCCUGAGAUACAAAGGGCAUUAACCUCAUUAGCAUGAAACCUUUUCUUCUAACCAUUGUGGGACCCUUUCAGACUCCUAAUCCCCCCUAUUUUCAAAGCUGGGUUUGUAAUAAAGCUUUUAGGGUUUUUUUUCAAAGCUAAUGGCAUUCUCUGAAGAUUUUAUUGCUGUUACGCUACAUAGGACGCUUAAUUUUUUUCCCCCUCUCCCUCUCUUCCCUCACGGUUAAAAAAAAAAAAAAAAAAAAGAGAGAGAGAGAGAGAAAAGUAAAAAAAAAAAAAGUAUAUGGUUCCUGCAGAAAUAAGCCUUUUAUCAAGAUGGGAAACAAUUUCUAGAAAGGCCCGAGUCUGCUGUUCGGCCGCAAUCCGUUUAAUGUUUGCCCAUUUGCCCGGGUUUGAAGUGGGGAGCAAGGCAGCUUGGGCGAGUUCAGGGGAAAAGUGCGUCCUGCUCGGUUUCCAGAUCUGCAUCAUCAGCUGUUCGAGGAGGGAAGAAACGCGACGAGAAGUUUACCUUGGGAAUAGCUCUACUAAAUAAUUAGCCUAGGUUUAAAUGGAAGGGACUGCAUUGCGACAUGCGUCCUAACCCUGGCUGGGCCUCUCUCAUAUUUGUAGCACAAGUGAAUGGAAAGUCACUGGGGCUGUAUAAGAAGAGAUGCUAAAAAAAAAAAAUCGUUUUUUUUUUUAAAAAAAUUAAAUUUACAUAGUACCCGAUAGAGCCAACACGUGCACAGAAUGUCUAAUCUUAACUUUUCAAGGCAGUAUGUUUAACAAAGCUCGUAUUUUUGCGAUGCAUUGUAACUUCGCCUUAUCACAGUGUAAAGGGUAGUCAGAUUGUCCUAAAUUAUGUCCAACUAGCCCCCCUGGAUCCACGGAUUAAGAGAUUAAAGGAGACCACUGGGCAAUGCCUCCUCUUUCCCCUUCAUAUUCCUGGUAUGAUAAUUGCCUAAACUGAUUUGCACUUUCACAAAAGCUUGCAGGAUUCUUUGUAGCUCGAACAGAGCAGACGAGGUUUCUCUAUCAAUGGAAAUAAAACUGAUUAAUGCAGUCUAUCAGGCUAAGGAGCAAAUGAAGCAUGAAAAAACAACUGUGUACCCCCAGAAAACCAGUUAGUUUCCUCAAGGACCCAGAGCAACAUUUUUUUCUUUUCCCUUUUUUUUUUUUUUUUUUUUCUUUCCCCCACGUCUUCAACGCCAGAGUUUCACUCUGCGCCCAGGAUCGCUCCCUGAGAGCGGCAGGGACAGCAGCAGCUGGGGCGCAGCCUCUGCUCGCAGGACCUGUCCCUCCUCUCACCGACCCAGACACGGGAUAGACAAGACGGGGGAAAAGCCCCCAAAUAUCCCCAAAUCCUCUCUAGCUAAAUAAAACACCUAUUUUUUUGCCGAGGAAAGGCUCUCUCAGCGGAGCGCGGCUGCUGCCGACCAGUUUCACCAGCACGAACCAGUCCGGACUCCAGUUUCUAAGCAGGGAAGGGGCUGGGUUUCUCCUCGAGGUUUUUGUUUGGUUGGUUGGUUCUGUUUCGGGGGGUUUUAGGUAUUUCUAUACAGCCAGUGCGCCUCUGCGGCUUGUUUUUAGAGGUCUAUUUGGCAGGCAGCAAAUAUAUUAAGAAAAACGCCCCUGUGGCCGCAGGAAUGCGCGGCGCGGCCGCGGGGGUUCAGCAGCUAAAAACAAGAUGUGGGGGGAAACCAUCGGUUUCCGAAAAAUUUGGGGGUGAAGGGGAAAAGAUGUUGCUUAAAAAAUUUAGGGCAUAUUGAUAAAUCUUUAUUGACAAAAUAUUGACAAUGACAUACUUCUUGGAAGUAUAUAGUGUGUUAGAAUUCUAACAAAUUAAACACAAAACACAAAAAUAUUUACAUUCUGGUAUAGGAGACAUGAAGGAAACAUUUGUCACUUUUUUUUUUUUUUUUUUUUUUUUUUUUUAGUAGCUCUAUGAUCUCGGAAUAUUAUAAGGUCAGUGCUUGAAAAUUGAUCCAAUGAAAAUGGCCAUUAGGAAAAAAAAAAUCAAUCCUCGAUUUUAAGUCCCUUUUCUCUGGAUCCUCCCAGCCUAGAAGGUGUCCCCACAGCCAAAACUGCUCGCUGGGUUUGUGUUUUGUUAAUCUUAAAAUAAAAAAGUAAUCAUCAUCCGGUUUUGAAAUGGGGAUACAGUUGGGGGGGGGGGCAGAUAAUUCCAUUUGAUUUUUUUUCUUUCAGCAAAACUUAUGACCAACCCCAACCUCCCCCGCCCCCCUUCCUUUCCCUCCCGUCCCUCCCCUCCCCACCGUGUUUGUCCAUCCGGAAGGAACACUAUGCUUUGUUACUGCUACUUCAUUUAGCUUUCACAAACACUUUGACGCCAGAAGUUAUCAUAAAAUGUUUACAGACUGCACAUUUCUCGUAAAAUAAAAUUAAAAAGCACACAGAACCUGUCUUAAAGGGAAAAAAAUCACAAUUCAUUUCUGUCUUUAGGAACCGGAGUAAUUUUUUUCCUCUUUUUUUUUCUUUUUUUUUUUCUUUUUUUCUUUUUUU
Long non-coding RNA from Prinia subflava (tawny-flanked prinia), 12063 nucleotides. RefSeq lists it as uncharacterized. Lineage: Eukaryota; Metazoa; Chordata; Aves; Passeriformes; Cisticolidae. The record is from RefSeq and is a predicted model, not a curated record. The transcript is spliced from 2 exons.